This is a non-coding RNA of Rattus norvegicus (Norway rat), 770 nucleotides long. The record is from RefSeq and is a predicted model, not a curated record. NCBI's taxonomy places the organism in Eukaryota, Metazoa, Chordata, Mammalia, Rodentia, Muridae.
UACCUAGAAUGUUAGAAGCUUAAUGAAUGAGGAGUCAAGUGGCAGGAACAAGCCUCGGACUAUAGCUGGUGCGAACAGAGUGGCAGAGGAGUGGACAAAGGAAGGAGAAAGAGACACAGAGGAGACACUGAGGCACUAAACAAGGGGCAGCAGACACACCAGAAGAGGGAAUUGGAUCUCAUUACAGAUGGUUGUGAGCCACCAUGUGGUUGCUGGGAAUUGAACUCAGGACCUCCGGAAGAGCAGCCAGCGCCCUUAACCGCUGAGCCGUCUCUCCAGCCCAGAAACACUGACAGCACAUUCAGCUCGUAUUUCCGGACCAGACCGUGGCGAUUAGAGGAAGAACCCUGGCCGAAUUUCUAUCCAUGACUUCAGUAGAACUGCUGGUGGCCUAUCCUGCCUUCAGACUGCCAAGGGGGGAAUUGGAGAGAGCUGGAGCACGCAUGCGCUCUUCCCAAGGCAGAGAGUGCUUAAAUACUGACGAUAAAGGAACAAAAGCAGAAGCACAAAGGAUGAGAAAGAACACCGAAGACAUAGUCGUCGUUUAAAGUUAAAGAAUUAGGGGCCAGCGAGAUGGCCCAACGGACAAGGUUGUUUGCCACUAAACCUGAGUUCCUGUCUUCAGACCCUGAAUCACAUCCCAGGUGUGAAAGGAGAGAACCAAUCAACUCCUACAAAUUGUCUUCGACCUCCACACUCCUGCCACCGGGAUGUGCGUACUCACAUGUGCGCUAAAUAAAUAAAUGCAGGCAUGACAGUUCCAGAAGAAA